This 937-nucleotide long non-coding RNA is filed under the name Aotus nancymaae (Ma's night monkey). Its description in RNAcentral is "lncRNA (ENSANAG00000039045.1)". Lineage: Eukaryota; Metazoa; Chordata; Mammalia; Primates; Aotidae. The record is from RNAcentral.
CUUGAGAGAGACAUUUUCCAGGCAAGUUUCUACUUAGUGGGUGCCCAGAUGAUAGAUGUGUAGGGAACUGACUGGUAGUGGAAAAUGCAAAUAGCCAUUCUCAAUUCCCUACUUAUUUCUCAUAUGCCAGAUACACCUAUGGGAAGCCUGUCCCAGGACUUGCAACUGUGAGCCUGUGUAGAAAAUAUUUUCCUGUUUCUUAUUGUGCUAUCAAGGAAAUCUGUGAGGAAUUCAGUCAACAGCUCAACAGCAAUGGCUGCAUCACCCAACAAGUACAAGCAAACAUGCUCCAGAUUAAAAAUACAGGCUUUGAAAUGAAGCUCCGAGUGGAAGCCAGGAUCAGAGAAGAGGGAACAGGUGUGAGUACUGAAUGAAUAUGGAAAUAUAACAAUAAACAUUAAUUUACUUCCCAUAACAAAAUAAGGGUCAUUUGUAGGAAAGAAAUUUUAGAACUAAAGUAACUUCUAAAAGUACUGACUUUUAUAUUUUUUAGAUGUGGUAGUCACUGCAAAUGGGAUCAGUGAAAUCACAAACGUUGCAUCCAAACUCAUAUUCGUGAAAGUGGAUUCACACUUUAGACGAGGAAUCCCCUUUUUUGGACAGGUAGGAUAUGUUUUAAUUCACAGGUAAGCAAACUGUCCAGAUGCACCUAAGCCCAGGGUACAGUGUUGUAGCCUACAUUUGGUUAGUAUUACCAGUUAAUUAAUAUGACCAAAACCAUGAAAGCAAGGAGAAAUACUUUCCUUUCUAAAUAUCACUGAUGAAAUGUACAGACACACACUAAACUAUUAUGAGAAUCAGAGAUCUAUUUUAAUAUGUAGCUAAUAAAGAUACUUAAUGUAAUGUGACUUAGUUAUUAUAUCAAAUUUCUUCUUUCAUUCAGUUUAGAAUAAAUGAUAUUUCUGUCAUGACUCAGCCAGCAUCAGAAGUUUCAGAG